This is a long non-coding RNA of Homo sapiens (human), 895 nucleotides long. The record is from Ensembl. Lineage: Eukaryota; Metazoa; Chordata; Mammalia; Primates; Hominidae.
AGGAUGGAGACCCGGGACCCUUUGAGAACAUCCCAGACGUUGAUAGUGUAAUCAUUGUAUCCAGCAAACAGCAGGCGACCUUGAAGCAGGAAAAGUUCCCUUUGGGGCAUGAAGAGAAGCAAAGGCUGGGGAGAAAAUGCCUGAGAGCAUUGUGGAAGUGAAUUUCUGACACUUCAUUGCCUUGAAGGACAGCAUUAGGUCAUAGAGGCGACACUGGGGAGCAAAUAAAUAAAGAAGCACUUACUUCUGGCUUCAGUUUGGUGACGUGAUGACCACAGAGCUACAGGGAAGGAACAAAUUACAAGGAGGGGAAUCUGCUCCCGCCCUGGUGUUGCACCCACUGGCUGUCCACAGGACCCCCUCCAGCCUUGACUUCCCUCAGGAGGCCUGCAUACAUCCAACAAGAUGACUUAAGCUAGCAAAGUAGCUUAUGGACACACAAAACCUGAACCGAGGCUGAAAUUUGGGUACUCAUAUUUUGUUGGAUGCUCAAAUUCCCUCAAUCUCUCCUGGCCCACACCCACUAGUGGCUGUUCCAACUCACUGCUUUCCUAAUAACACUUGCAGUAACUUACAGUUUAUUUUGAGACACCAGGUCCAAACAAUUUUCUUUAAGCAACUACCCCAGUCUUGCUCUUUAAUUUAGGAAAUUUUCAUACCAUACUGUUUGAUCAAAGAAAUGAAUAGUUUUUAAAAGUUAAAAGUAGAUUUCUAAUACUUUUCAAUUUUGUGUUUCUGAUCUUCAUUAUAAUAUAAGUAAAAAUAAAGUUUAAAGACCAAACAUUUAUUCAUAUAAAUGCAUUAAACAGAACCCCUAACUCAUUGUCACUCAUUUGUUCUGGAAUGCAGAGAAUUUGUAAGUUUAAUACCAUAGUCUCAUACCAGCCGCUUGAGU